AUGACAAAAUGUAAACAGAUCAGAAAGCUUGAUAGGAUCCAUGAAACAUAUGCAGGGGACUCGCAUGUCAGGCUCCGUAGUCUUGCCAUGGAUAAGGCAGUCAAGUUCAAGAAGGAUUGGCUGGUGCUGCCGGCUAGCGUCAAGUUCGAUCCCACAGAUCAGGAGUUGAUCGAGCACCUUGAGGCCAAAGUGAGUGCUGACAGCACAAGAUCUCACCCUCUCAUUGAUCUGUUCAUACCAACCAUCGAUAGCGAGCACGGCAUAUGCUACAUGCAUCCUGAGAAACUUCCAGGUAUCACACUGAGUGGCCUAAGCAAGCAUUUCUUCCAGCGCAACUCUAGGGCGUUCAAAAGGGGCACAUGGAUGCAUAGAAAGAUACAGUCUGAGUGCAGCAUGCACGCGAUGUGGCACAAGACCGGUAAUACCUUGCCGGUGAUGGUCAACACCUGGCAGACGGGCAGCAAAAAGGUUUUGGUGCUAUACACCAAAAAGAACUUUGACCAGCAGAGGACCAACUGGGUGAUGCAUCAGUACCACCUCGCGACCUGGAGCAAGAGAAGGAGUGGAAGCUGGUCCUCUGAAGAUUUUCUACCAGACAAACACUAG
Molecule: ribosomal RNA, 606 nt
Filed under: Triticum aestivum (bread wheat)
Lineage: Eukaryota; Viridiplantae; Streptophyta; Magnoliopsida; Poales; Poaceae
Description: partial small subunit ribosomal RNA
Source: RNAcentral